AGCGAACGCUGGCGGCAGGCCUAAUACAUGCAAGUCGAGCGCACCUUCGGGUGAGCGGCGGACGGGUGAGUAACGCGUGGGAAUGUGCCCUUUGGUACGGAACAACUGAGGGAAACUUCAGCUAAUACCGUAUGUGCCCUUCGGGGAAAGGAUUUAUCGCCAUUGGAGCAGCCCGCGUUGGAUUAGGUAGUUGGUGAGGUAAAGGCUCACCAAGCCGACGAUCCAUAGCUGGUCUGAGAGGAUGAUCAGCCACACUGGGACUGAGACACGGCCCAGACUCCUACGGGAGGCAGCAGUAGGGAAUCUUGCGCAAUGGGCGAAAGCCUGACGCAGCGACGCCGCGUGGGGGA
Molecule: ribosomal RNA, 350 nt
Filed under: uncultured bacterium
Lineage: Bacteria
Description: bacterial SSU rRNA
Rfam family: Bacterial small subunit ribosomal RNA
Source: RNAcentral